UGGGGAAUAUUGCACAAUGGGGGAAACCCUGAUGCAGCGACGCCGCGUGAGCGAAGAAGUAUUUCGGUAUGUAAACUUCUAUCAGCAGGGAAGAUAAUGACGGUACCUGACUAAGAAGCCCCGGCUAACUACGUGCCAGCAGCCGCGGUAAUACGUAGGGGGCAAGCGUUAUCCGGAUUUACUGGGUGUAAAGGGUGCGUAGGCGGCUUUGCAAGUCAGAUGUGAAAUCUAUGGGCUCAACCCAUAAACUGCAUUUGAAACUGUAGAGCUUGAGUGAAGUAGAGGCAGGCGGAAUUCCCCGUGUAGCGGUGAAAUGCGUAGAGAUGGGGAGGAACACCAGUGGCGAAGGCGGCCUGCUGGGCUUUAACUGACGCUGAGGCACGAAAGCGUGGGUAGCAAACAGGAUUAGAUACCCUGGUAGUCCACGCUGUAAACGAUGAUUACUAGGUGUGGGGGGUCUGACCCCUUCCGUGCCGGAGUUAACACAAUAAGUAAUCCACCUGGGGAGUACGGCCGCAAGGUUGAAACUCAAAGGAAUUGACGGGGGCCCGCACAAGCAGUGGAGUAUGUGGUUUAAUUCGAAGCAACGCGAAGAACCUUACCAGGUCUUGACAUCCAACUAACGAAGUAGAGAUACAUUAGGUGCCCUUCGGGGAAAGUUGAGACAGGUGGUGCAUGGUUGUCGUCAGCUCGUGUCGUGAGAUGUUGGGUUAAGUCCCGCAACGAGCGCAACCCUUGCUAUUAGUUGCUACGCAAGAGCACUCUAAUAGGACUGCCGUUGACAAAACGGAGGAAGGUGGGGACGACGUCAAAUCAUCAUGCCCCUUAUGACCUGGGCUACACACGUACUACAAUGGAUGUUAACAGAGGGAAGCAAGACAGUGAUGUGGAGCAAACCCCUAAAAACAUUCUCAGUUCAGAUUGCAGGCUGCAACCCGCCUGCAUGAAGAUGGAAUUGCUAGUAAUCGCGGAUCAGCAUGCCGCGGUGAAUACGUUCCC
Molecule: ribosomal RNA, 999 nt
Filed under: uncultured bacterium
Lineage: Bacteria
Description: bacterial SSU rRNA
Rfam family: Bacterial small subunit ribosomal RNA
Source: RNAcentral